AGACUCCAGGAGCAAAGCUGAGGGUGAGCACAGACUGAGGUAUACCUUUGUGGCUAGAAUAGUUCUAAGGGUUAAAGUUUAACUAAUGUACUCUGCACUUCUUAAGUGGUAGAAAAGGGGAAUCAGGUACUAGUGGUCUGUUUGAAAAGCUUAAAGCCUCAUCAGAGGUCUUCCUCUCUUGGAUCCCCUCUGUAUGGCAUUGGAGCAUGGGAC
RNAcentral lists this long non-coding RNA (213 nucleotides) under Homo sapiens (human). Its description in RNAcentral is "HSALNT0105553". The record is from RNAcentral. Lineage: Eukaryota; Metazoa; Chordata; Mammalia; Primates; Hominidae.